CUCCCCUGCCCAACCUAGCCUCUGGAGCCCCUCCCCGCGCCAAGGUAAUUAGCGGUUCCCCUCCUCCUCGCUCCCGGAUUCCCUUCAACGUGUGACCGCGGGUCAAAGCCUUAAUACACUUCAGGAUACUUUGGUUCAUGUUAAAGCAGGUGUAUAGAGUCAGUCGGAGAAGGCAAUGGCACCCC
Long non-coding RNA from Capra hircus (goat), 185 nucleotides. RefSeq lists it as uncharacterized. The transcript has 3 exons. The record is from RefSeq and is a predicted model, not a curated record. NCBI's taxonomy places the organism in Eukaryota, Metazoa, Chordata, Mammalia, Artiodactyla, Bovidae.